RNAcentral lists this ribosomal RNA (2269 nucleotides) under Escherichia coli. RNAcentral's name for it is "partial 23S ribosomal RNA". It matches the Rfam family "Bacterial large subunit ribosomal RNA", at positions 375 to 2632 of the family's 2925-position model. Lineage: Bacteria; Pseudomonadati; Pseudomonadota; Gammaproteobacteria; Enterobacterales; Enterobacteriaceae. The record is from RNAcentral.
GUACACAAAAAUGCACAUGCUGUGAGCUCGAUGAGUAGGGCGGGACACGUGGUAUCCUGUCUGAAUAUGGGGGGACCAUCCUCCAAGGCUAAAUACUCCUGACUGACCGAUAGUGAACCAGUACCGUGAGGGAAAGGCGAAAAGAACCCCGGCGAGGGGAGUGAAAAAGAACCUGAAACCGUGUACGUACAAGCAGUGGGAGCACGCUUAGGCGUGUGACUGCGUACCUUUUGUAUAAUGGGUCAGCGACUUAUAUUCUGUAGCAAGGUUAACCGAAUAGGGGAGCCGAAGGGAAACCGAGUCUUAACUGGGCGUUAAGUUGCAGGGUAUAGACCCGAAACCCGGUGAUCUAGCCAUGGGCAGGUUGAAGGUUGGGUAACACUAACUGGAGGACCGAACCGACUAAUGUUGAAAAAUUAGCGGAUGACUUGUGGCUGGGGGUGAAAGGCCAAUCAAACCGGGAGAUAGCUGGUUCUCCCCGAAAGCUAUUUAGGUAGCGCCUCGUGAAUUCAUCUCCGGGGGUAGAGCACUGUUUCGGCAAGGGGGUCAUCCCGACUUACCAACCCGAUGCAAACUGCGAAUACCGGAGAAUGUUAUCACGGGAGACACACGGCGGGUGCUAACGUCCGUCGUGAAGAGGGAAACAACCCAGACCGCCAGCUAAGGUCCCAAAGUCAUGGUUAAGUGGGAAACGAUGUGGGAAGGCCCAGACAGCCAGGAUGUUGGCUUAGAAGCAGCCAUCAUUUAAAGAAAGCGUAAUAGCUCACUGGUCGAGUCGGCCUGCGCGGAAGAUGUAACGGGGCUAAACCAUGCACCGAAGCUGCGGCAGCGACGCUGAUGCGUUGUUGGGUAGGGGAGCGUUCUGUAAGCCUGCGAAGGUGUGCUGUGAGGCAUGCUGGAGGUAUCAGAAGUGCGAAUGCUGACAUAAGUAACGAUAAAGCGGGUGAAAAGCCCGCUCGCCGGAAGACCAAGGGUUCCUGUCCAACGUUAAUCGGGGCAGGGUGAGUCGACCCCUAAGGCGAGGCCGAAAGGCGUAGUCGAUGGGAAACAGGUUAAUAUUCCUGUACUUGGUGUUACUGCGAAGGGGGGACGGAGAAGGCUAUGUUGGCCGGGCGACGGUUGUCCCGGUUUAAGCGUGUAGGCUGGUUUUCCAGGCAAAUCCGGAAAAUCAAGGCUGAGGCGUGAUGACGAGGCACUACGGUGCUGAAGCAACAAAUGCCCUGCUUCCAGGAAAAGCCUCUAAGCAUCAGGUAACAUCAAAUCGUACCCCAAACCGACACAGGUGGUCAGGUAGAGAAUACCAAGGCGCUUGAGAGAACUCGGGUGAAGGAACUAGGCAAAAUGGUGCCGUAACUUCGGGAGAAGGCACGCUGAUAUGUAGGUGAAGCGACUUGCUCGUGGAGCUGAAAUCAGUCGAAGAUACCAGCUGGCUGCAACUGUUUAUUAAAAACACAGCACUGUGCAAACACGAAAGUGGACGUAUACGGUGUGACGCCUGCCCGGUGCCGGAAGGUUAAUUGAUGGGGUCAGCGCAAGCGAAGCUCUUGAUCGAAGCCCCGGUAAACGGCGGCCGUAACUAUAACGGUCCUAAGGUAGCGAAAUUCCUUGUCGGGUAAGUUCCGACCUGCACGAAUGGCGUAAUGAUGGCCAGGCUGUCUCCACCCGAGACUCAGUGAAAUUGAACUCGCUGUGAAGAUGCAGUGUACCCGCGGCAAGACGGAAAGACCCCGUGAACCUUUACUAUAGCUUGACACUGAACAUUGAGCCUUGAUGUGUAGGAUAGGUGGGAGGCUUGGAAGUGUGGACGCCAGUCUGCAUGGAGCCGACCUUGAAAUACCACCCUUUAAUGUUUGAUGUUCUAACGUUGACCCGUAAUCCGGGUUGCGGACAGUGUCUGGUGGGUAGUUUGACUGGGGCGGUCUCCUCCUAAAGAGUAACGGAGGAGCACGAAGGUUGGCUAAUCCUGGUCGGACAUCAGGAGGUUAGUGCAAUGGCAUAAGCCAGCUUGACUGCGAGCGUGACGGCGCGAGCAGGUGCGAAAGCAGGUCAUAGUGAUCCGGUGGUUCUGAAUGGAAGGGCCAUCGCUCAACGGAUAAAAGGUACUCCGGGGAUAACAGGCUGAUACCGCCCAAGAGUUCAUAUCGACGGCGGUGUUUGGCACCUCGAUGUCGGCUCAUCACAUCCUGGGGCUGAAGUAGGUCCCAAGGGUAUGGCUGUUCGCCAUUUAAAGUGGUACGCGAGCUGGGUUUAGAACGUCGUGAGACAGUUC